GUUUGAUCCUGGCUCAGAAUGAACGCUGGCGGCGUGCUUAACACAUGCAAGUCGCACGAGAACGCUUCAGCUUGCUGAAGUUAGUAAAGUGGCGCACGGGUGAGUAACGCGUGGGUAAUCUUCCCCCGAAUUGGGGAUAACAUCGCGAAAGCGAUGCUAAUACCGGAUAAUAUCUUAAAAACCUCGGUUUUAAAGACCAAAGGUGGCCUCUACACGUAAGCUACUGUUUGGGGAUGAGCCCGCGUACCAUUAGCUUGUUGGUAGGGUAACGGCCUACCAAGGCUGCGAUGGUUAGCUGGUCUGAGAGGAUGAUCAGCCACACUGGAACUGACACACGGUCCAGACUCCUACGGGAGGCAGCAGUGGGGAAUUUUGCGCAAUGGGGGAAACCCUGACGCAGCAACGCCGCGUGAGUGAUGAAGGCUUUCGGGUCGUAAAGCUCUGUCAAGUGGGAAGAAACCACUUGGGGAAUAAUACCCAUUGAGAUUGACGGUACCUCUGGAGGAAGCACCGGCUAACUCCGUGCCAGCAGCCGCGGUAAUACGGAGGGUGCUAGCGUUGUUCGGAAUUACUGGGCGUAAAGCGGGUGUAGGCGGUUUGUUAAGUCAGAUGUGAAAGCCCACGGCUCAACCGUGGAAGUGCAUCUGAAACUAGCAGACUUGAGUACCGGAGAGGGAAGCGGAAUUCCCGGUGUAGAGGUGAAAUUCGUAGAUAUCAGGAGGAACACCAGUGGCGAAGGCGACUUUCUGGACCAAUACUGACGCUCAGACUCGAAGGCGUGGGGAGCGAAACAGGAUUAGAUACCCGUGUAGUCCACGCAGUAAACGUUGACAACUAGGUGUCGCGGGUAUUGACCCCCUGCGGUGCCGGAGCUAACGCAUUAAGUUGUCCGCCUGGGGAGUACGAUCGCAAGAUUAAAACUCAAAGGAAUUGACGGGGGCCCGCACAAGCGGUGGAGCAUGUGGUUUAAUUCGACGCAACGCGAAGAACCUUACCUGGAUUUGACAUCCUGGGAAUCUUUUUAAGAUUUGAGUGCCCUUCGGGGAACCCAGUGACAGGUGCUGCAUGGCUGUCGUCAGCUCGUGUCGUGAGAUGUUGGGGUAAGUCCCGCAACGAGCGCAACCCCUAUCUUUAGUUACCAGCAUUUAGUUGGGGACUCUAGAGAUACUGCCCCGGUCAACGGGGAGGAAGGUGGGGAUGACGUCAAGUCCUCAUGGCCUUUAUGUCCAGGGCUACACACGUGCUACAAUGGGCUGUACAAAGGGUUGCGACAUCGCAAGGUGAAGCCAAUCCCGUAAAGCAGUUCGUAGUUCGGAUUGGAGUCUGCAACUCGACUCCAUGAAGCUGGAAUCGCUAGUAAUCGUGGAUCAGCAUGCCACGGUGAAUACGUUCCCGGGCCUUGUACACACCGCCCGUCACACCAUGAGAGUUGGUUCUACCAGAAGUCGUUGGGCAAACCCUUCGGGGAUGCAGGCGCCUAAGGUAAAGUCGGUGAGGGGGGUGAAGUCGUAACAAGGUAGCCG
RNAcentral lists this ribosomal RNA (1523 nucleotides) under uncultured prokaryote. RNAcentral's name for it is "partial 16S ribosomal RNA". It matches the Rfam family "Bacterial small subunit ribosomal RNA". The record is from RNAcentral.